RNAcentral lists this ribosomal RNA (976 nucleotides) under Arthopyrenia salicis. Its description in RNAcentral is "SSU rRNA". It matches the Rfam family "Bacterial small subunit ribosomal RNA", at positions 372 to 1293 of the family's 1533-position model. The record is from RNAcentral. Lineage: Eukaryota; Fungi; Ascomycota; Dothideomycetes; Pleosporales; Arthopyreniaceae.
UGGCCUAAAGGCUGAACCAGCAACUUACAGGAAUGAGAGUUAAUAUAAAUGACUUAUUAACUUGCUUGACUAGGUCUUAUAAAAUUCUGGAUAAAGCUGAUAAUGACAACUUUAUAUCCAUAGGUCUCGACCAAAUCUUGUGCCAGCAGUCGCGGUAAGACAAGGGAGACGAGUGUUAUUCAUCUUGAACAGGUAUAAUGGGUACCUAGACUGUGUACAAAGGCUUGAAAGAGUACCUGUUACACUAGAGUUUGAUAUGUGAGAGGGAGAUUUCAGAAUUAUUGGUGUAGAGAUAAAAUUCUUUUAUACAAAUGGGACUGAUAACGGCGAAGGCAAACCUCUAUGUACAUGUACUAACUUAAUUAAGAGAAUCAUAUGUAAAUAUGGUUAUAUAUAUCACUGGUUGAUAUAUUACUUGUUAAGAUAAUUAAUUAUAUUUAUAGUACUAAACUGACGUUGAGGGACGAAGGCUCAGAUAGUGAAGAGGAUUAGAUACCCCCGUAGCCUGGGCAGAUAAUGAUGAGUGCCAUAGGUUGGCUUUAAGUUGAACUAUAAAUGAAAGUGGAAGCACUCCACCUCAAGAGUAAUGUGGCAACACAGGAACUGAAAUCAUUAGACCGUUUCUGAAACCAGUAGUGAAGUAUGUUAUUUAAUUCGAUGAUCCUCGAAUAACCUUACCACAAUUUGAAUGCUCUAAAUUAAUAUAGUUUAUUGAAUUAUCUUAUUUAGACCACAUGCGUUGCAUGGCUGUCUUCAGUUAAUGUCGUGAGAUUUGGUUAGGUCCAUUAAAUUAACGUAAACCCUUGUUUUAUUUAAUACAAUAAGACAGCUCUCCGCCUACAAUUGGAUAUGAUAAUAGGGAUUAAGACAAGUCAUCAUGGCCUUAAUAUUGUGGGCUAUAGACGUGCCACAUAGGCCUUUACAAAGGGAUGCAAUAAUGCGAAUUGGAGCUAAUCCCCUAAAAUAGGAAAAAAUA